AGGAUGAACGCUAGCGACAGGCCUAACACAUGCAAGUCGAGGGGCAGCGCGGGAGAAGCUUGCUUUCCUGGCGGCGACCGGCGCACGGGUGCGUAACAGGUGUGCAAUCUGUCCAUAGUCGGGGGAUAGCCCAGCGAAAGCUGAAUUAACACUCCAUGUGAAUCGAAGCCGCAUGACUUUGAUUUGAAACGCAAGGACUAUAGGUGAGCACGCUUCUGAUUAGCUAGUUGGUGGGUAACGGCUCACCAAGGCGACGAUCAGUAGGGGUUCUGAGAGGAAGGUCCCCCACAUUGGAACUGAGACACGGUCCAAACUCCUACGGGAGGCAGCAGUGAGGAAUAUUGGUCAAUGGGCGAGAGCCUGAACCAGCCAAGUCGCGUGAAAAGGAUGAAGGUUCUAUGGAUUGUAAACUUCUUUUGUCCGAGGGUAAAGGAGUCCACGUGUGGAUUUUUGCAAGUAUCGGACGAAUAAGCAUCGGCUAACUCCGUGCCAGCCGCUGC
RNAcentral lists this ribosomal RNA (500 nucleotides) under uncultured bacterium. RNAcentral describes it as "bacterial SSU rRNA". It matches the Rfam family "Bacterial small subunit ribosomal RNA", at positions 26 to 518 of the family's 1533-position model. The record is from RNAcentral.